AGUCGAACGCGUUGGCCAACUGAUUGAACGUGCUUGCACGGACUUGACGUUGGUUUACCAGCGAGUGGCGGACGGGUGAGUAACACGUAGGUAACCUGCCCCAAAGCGGGGGAUAACAUUUGGAAACAGAUGCUAAUACCGCAUAACAAUUUGAAUCGCAUGAUUCAAAUUUAAAAGAUGGCUUCGGCUAUCACUUUGGGAUGGACCUGCGGCGCAUUAGCUUGUUGGUAGGGUAACGGCCUACCAAGGCUGUGAUGCGUAGCCGAGUUGAGAGACUGAUCGGCCACAAUGGAACUGAGACACGGUCCAUACUCCUACGGGAGGCAGCAGUAGGGAAUCUUCCACAAUGGGCGCAAGCCUGAUGGAGCAACACCGCGUGAGUGAAGAAGGGUUUCGGCUCGUAAAGCUCUGUUGUUAGAGAAGAACGUGCGUGAGAGCAACUGUUCACGCAGUGACGGUAUCUAACCAGAAAGUCACGGCUAACUACGUGCCAGCAGCCGCGGUAAUACGUAGGUGGCAAGCGUUAUCCGGAU
RNAcentral lists this ribosomal RNA (533 nucleotides) under uncultured Bacilli bacterium. RNAcentral describes it as "bacterial SSU rRNA". It matches the Rfam family "Bacterial small subunit ribosomal RNA", at positions 60 to 550 of the family's 1533-position model. The record is from RNAcentral. Lineage: Bacteria; Bacillati; Bacillota; Bacilli.